RNAcentral lists this ribosomal RNA (248 nucleotides) under uncultured bacterium. RNAcentral describes it as "partial small subunit ribosomal RNA". The record is from RNAcentral.
GUUAGCCGGUGCUUCUUCUGCAGGUACCGUCACUCUCGCUUCGUCCCUGCUGAAAGAGGUUUACAACCCGAAGGCCGUCAUCCCUCACGCGGCGUCGCUGCAUCAGGCUUGCGCCCAUUGUGCAAUAUUCCCCACUGCUGCCUCCCGUAGGAGUCUGGGCCGUGUCUCAGUCCCAGUGUGGCCGGUCGCCCUCUCAGGCCGGCUACCCGUCGUCGCCUUGGUGAGCCGUUACCCCACCAACUAGCUGA